UCCUGGGAUAGCUCAGUCAGUAGAGCAUGAUACUCUUAAUCUCAGGGUCAUGGGUCAUGGGUUCGAUCCCCGCAUUGGGCA
Non-coding RNA from Podarcis lilfordi (Lilford's wall lizard), 81 nucleotides. The record is from the annotation of a GenBank genome assembly. Lineage: Eukaryota; Metazoa; Chordata; Lepidosauria; Squamata; Lacertidae.